CUACAAAUAGUAUACUAUGCAAUACUAUACAAUACAUUAAUGGCUUGUUCACUCGCCUGGAUUUUUUAUGGGAUAUGAGUUGUCAGAUCAAAGCUAAUUUUAUUGUCAAUGGUUCCAUUAACAAUCGAAAAGAGUUUUUUUUUUAUUGUUUAGUUCUAAGCCAGCAACCCAACAAACUAGUGACCGCCGCCAUUAACUAAAUCAUUCUGAACCGAACUUAGUCAAUGAAAACAAGAGAGCAGAGGCUGAUUUGCAUGGAUGGACGUUAGAAAACUUGAAAAGUCAUGGUGGAAAAUCAUCAUCCCUGAACCCUUCAUUUCCCCCUCUGUCCAGGGAUGUGACCCCUUUUUUUCUAUACAAUUUGCUAGGUUUAAUUUAGUGGAAUUUGAACUGCUGUUAGGUUUGCCCAGCAAAAUGAGUGUUAAUUUUCCACUUGGAGGGUACCUACCUAUGGCGCAAGCAAGUGCAAAAACUAACCUUGGCUUGGUGAUCGACAUCCUAGUAACAUUAUGGCUCAUUGCUACCAGUAGAUACUGAAUGAAAUAAAGCGUGGAAAGAAAACAGUUACUUUUGGGAUUUUCCCAUAUUUGUUUUCUGCAGCGGGAAGAUCAUGCAUAUUGACUUUGGAGAUUGCUUUGAAGUGUCAAUAUACCUGGGAAAGUUCCCUGAGAAGGUUCCUUUUCUCCUGCCUAGAAUGCUCGUGAUAGCCAUGGAGGUUAUUAGUGGUACAGGGGGGAGUUUCUGCUUUACUUUCGAAGACAUGAUGCAAGUUCUUAGAACUGUGUUGUGGCUAGAAUGGAGAUAAUUGUGUUAUGGCUAGAAUGGAGGUACUAAUACUGAAAUUGAUUGUUCCAUUUUGUGUUUCUGUGUCCCUUCUUAUUUUGUCUUCUGAGUAUCUUUUUUAUUGGUCGGGGUCAUUUUGCACUACGGCUACUUAAUUUCUCACUGUCAAUUAAAGUUGGCCUGGUCGGAUACUUCUCAACUGCUCAUUUCUCAGUCUCGGUUAUUGGUUCUGCACGAGGAGGCUUGUCUUUCCACCCGACCCAAUGUGUAAUAAGGUUUGCUCAGCUCAUUUAGGCAUUGCUGCUGUUCGCUCAAGAAACUUCACCUUGUGAACUGUGCAGAUGGACUCGUGAGCUGGUGCUUACUUAGGUUUGUGAUGGAGAAGCUGGUCAUGGUGGUGCAUCUGAGAGUACUCAAGGGAAUGGCAAUGGAGCUACAAAACAUGCAUGCAUGGUUGUAGUGCAGUGUGGAGUCAAGAAGAGAAUGUAGAUAAUGCUGGUUUAAGUCGUCCAUAGAUGUAUCGGAGACCAGAAUUAAUGUCAGUGUCUUAUUUGAUCAAACAGGUAAAAUCAGGUUGAAUGGCUUGCUUGCAUUCUAUAUAUAAUUCUCAGUUCAUUGAAAA
Long non-coding RNA from Populus euphratica (Euphrates poplar), 1405 nucleotides. RefSeq lists it as uncharacterized. Lineage: Eukaryota; Viridiplantae; Streptophyta; Magnoliopsida; Malpighiales; Salicaceae. The record is from RefSeq and is a predicted model, not a curated record. The transcript has 2 exons.